RNAcentral lists this long non-coding RNA (1533 nucleotides) under Marmota monax (woodchuck). The record is from RNAcentral. Lineage: Eukaryota; Metazoa; Chordata; Mammalia; Rodentia; Sciuridae.
UCCCUCCCCCAGCUCUCCCUUUCUCUGCCCACACCGCUGGAACAGAAUUUAGAGGUUUGUUUACUCCUCCUCCCCGCCCCGCGCACUUUUAACAGGAAGAGAUUCUGCAACAACCAACAAAUCAGACAUAGAUGUGGUUGUCGUUUCUCCUAAAGAAGAAGAAAAAAACUACUUUGGAGCGGGGGUGAGGAGUUGGAGACUGAAUUUGAGAAAAAAUUUAUAACGCACCCUGACCCAGUCGCAGUGAGACCCAUUAUCCCACUGUUCACCUAUCUUCACAGUAACCCAAGAGAAGUGAGCGUGUAAGAACAGUGCUUAACACCGCCGGCCUCGGGUUAGUGAGGAGCGAGAAGCGUUUCAGAGGCCAGGUUGGAUUCAGAGUCUGGGUCCCCCACUACCAGGGGAUCCACAAAGCCUUACUUGAGCGGUCCUGAAUUCACCCGCCCCUCCCAGCGUGGAGACAGUGUCUCUCCGCAAGCUCCCAGCACCGACCUCGCGACCCAUAUUCCAUCCCACCACCCCGCCUCAAAGCGAAGAGGUGGGCACCUGGGACACGCGUCCUGCUUUUUCUGUCUGGGCUCUCCUGUCUCCUCCACUUUUGCCCCCGACGUCCCAGGACUGCGGAGCAGGACGUGGCAUCAGCCCUGGGAGAACGAAGCCUGUAUGCCUCGAGCGCGCCCAGGGCGCAGCAAGGAUGCUAAGGGACAGCAAUAGCCGGGAUGCAGAUCUCCAGCUCAAAUCCCUGGAAAGGAUACCCCCCUCUCCUUCCUUCUGUCCCCUUUUCCGCUUCAGUCGACCCGACUCCUCCCCAGCCCAGACGCCUUGCUCAGCGCUCCCUCGCUCGCCACUUUGCAAGGAACUUUGCCCGGCUUCUCCGCGCCACCAGGAGAAGGAUGUUAAUGAGGGAGCGUGGCCUGGCUCCGUGAGCAAGACAGAUCCUCAGCGGCGAUUGGCUGCGGCGAGGCGGAAGAAUGACGUUAUGCAAAGAAGGGGCGGGGCUUUGAGGCUUGAGCCCCGCCUCCUCCCUUUGGGGUUAGUGUGCCUGUGUUUAGCUCUGGGGAGAGUCAAACUGGAUUCCAUAGGGAAAGCCUGCAAAUCACUUCUAUUUUAGCAAGGAGAAAACAGAAUCUCCAUCCAGCAGGGUCCACCCCUCUCUCUUUCUCCCUGUCCUCUCUUUCUAUCUCUCUCUCUCUUUCCCUCCCCCUUCCUCUUUCCCUUUUUCCCCCCUUCCCCCCACCCUCUCUGGUGUAGCUGUCUACGGCAACCAGCGUCCUCCUCAUCUACACGCACUGAAAGGAAAGAAACAUCUUUGGUUGGGAGAGAAGGAGGGGGAAAAAAAAAAAGAAAGGAAAAAACUUGCCUGGUUGUGGAAAAUGACACUUGAAGUAGCAAAGCCGGCAGCGCGAGUUGAGUCUAUUGUUUCUUAAAUUGCUAUCACGUUUUUUUUUUUUUUUCUUCCUGCUUGUUCAAGUGAAGGGUACCUCUACAAAAGGAAACUCCAGCCCCUCCUGUUCUCCACCGGCCUGUGAUCAC